Molecule: transfer RNA, 73 nt
Filed under: Sporisorium reilianum SRZ2
Lineage: Eukaryota; Fungi; Basidiomycota; Ustilaginomycetes; Ustilaginales; Ustilaginaceae
Description: tRNA-Val (TAC) (tRNA-Val-TAC-1-1)
Rfam family: tRNA
About the family: Transfer RNA (tRNA) molecules are approximately 80 nucleotides in length. Their secondary structure includes four short double-helical elements and three loops (D, anti-codon, and T loops).
Source: RNAcentral
GCUGCUUUGGCACAGUGGUUAGCGCAACGCCUUUACACGGCGUAGGUCACAGGUUCGAACCCUGUAAGCAGCA